This is a long non-coding RNA of Panicum virgatum (switchgrass), 610 nucleotides long. RefSeq lists it as uncharacterized. Lineage: Eukaryota; Viridiplantae; Streptophyta; Magnoliopsida; Poales; Poaceae. The record is from RefSeq and is a predicted model, not a curated record. The transcript has 3 exons.
UCAGGUAAGAUGGUAUAAGCACCAAUAAUAUCAUACUGAAACAGAAUAUGCUUCCAUUUUAGACUAUGCAUACAUUGUUAAUAUAUUACUUUCACUGUAGGAACUUGCAAUGCUAACUCAAUCCAUAGCAGAAUUUGAUGAUAUGGACAUUGAUAAGUCACCAAGAAAUUGGGAUGACACACCAGCUGCAACUAAAAGAAGGCCUUAUGAUGAUAUUGAGGAUGAUGACAAAAAGCAUGUCUUUAAGAAAGGCAAGAAAUCUGAUAUGCAGCCAUCAACCAAGUAAAAAAUUACAACAGAUAUUGGCCAUGCAACAACUAUUUUGAUGCUUACUUCAAAACCACCUUUUGUCACUUCUUGUGUCCCAGCCAAACACACCAAUAUCUAUACUGCUUUUGUGACAAACACAACUAUAUUCACAAUGCUUUGGAAGUGGCUCUUCUUUUGGUGUAUAUAAUGCCAUCUUCUUACUCUGUUUCUUCACAAGUUGGGUUAUGUGAUAGUUCAAACACUAAAUAUCCCUCUUGCGAAUAUAUUUAUAUAUUGUGUGUCGAACCAUGAAUUAAUAUGAACAUUUAUGUAUAUAUAUCCCUAUUCAACUUCUUUGUCA